Molecule: long non-coding RNA, 1470 nt
Filed under: Cairina moschata (Muscovy duck)
Lineage: Eukaryota; Metazoa; Chordata; Aves; Anseriformes; Anatidae
Description: domestica (muscovy Duck (domestic type)) lncRNA (ENSCMMG00000011098.1)
Source: RNAcentral
AUGCCCACAGAGAGCGUGCUGGUGGUGGGCACAGCACUGAGCACCGCCACACACUGCACCGCACACAUUGCCAGAGCGUGCUGUGUGUGUGCUAUCUGGGCAUUGCUCCACACCCGGCCUGCUGAGCGUGCUGAAGUGUGCUGCAUGGGUGCCCUGUUCGGGGUACACAGCCAGCACGCCCCCUGCCUGUGCUACGAGCAAGCUGCCUACAUGUGCACUGCACCGAGCACACUCCGGCUGCACCACCGCACACAGCGUGAGCACGCUGCUGGCGCACGCUGCGCUGCACUGAGCUCACUGCCUGUGCAUGGCCCUGUGGCUGCUGCCAGCAUGCUGGCAGCAUCCACGGCCUCAGGUGCACUGUGUGUGUGCAUGCAUCAGAAUGUGGCCCAGGAACCCUCUGCACUGCAAGUACAGGGCUUGUGCAAACCAUGCUGGACACACCACCAGUGUGCUGCCUCCUGUGCACACUGCGCUGUGCACACUGAGCACAGCCCAGGCCUGCGUGCUGCAUGCACGCACCAGGAGGGUGCUGACAGCCAGCACUGCCUGCACACUCUGCCCUGGGCAUUGCCAGUGCACAGGUUCCCCAGUGAGGGAACCCACUGCCCCCGGCCCCCAUGCACAUGUCAAUUACACACUGCCCUCUGGCCCCUCCAUUUCCCUGUGCCCCUGCCCCCAGCUCCUGUGCCCAGGGCACCCCCCCACAGCCCCUGUCUGGAACCUGUAGCUCCCUGCCCCAGCAUCCAUGGGUGCCCCUGCACUCCCUGCCCCACCUGCAUGGCCUGGAGGGGGGAGGGGUGUCACCCUGCUGGAGCAUGGGGACCCGGCCCCAGGGCAGGGCAGUGCCCCAAGCCUCAGCUCUGGCAUCUGCGUAUGGCGCGAGUGACACCUGCCAGGCAGGGGCCAGGACCCCUCUGGCCACCCCGGUGUCCCCCGCCUGCCCAGCCCCCAGACCUAGCUCCGUUCCCUCUUGCAGGGGAGGGUGCUGGGGGUUCCCACCCUGGGGGGGCAUCCGCAGAGAGGCAUGGCCGAGGGGAGCCGGGGGCGUCGGGCACUAGGGCUGGGAAGCAUCGCCGGGCCCGGUGUCCCCCCCGCAGCCGCUGUCACCCGCGUGGCUUUCGGGGCCCAGGCCAGGGUCCGGGGUGGCUGCGUGGGGCGGGCGCCCCGGCGGGGCUGGGGGACGCGGCCGGGAGGCUCCGGGGCUGCCCCAGGCGCUGCCACCGCCGCUCCCCGGAGGCCCCAGGGCGGUGGCCCCGGGCACCCCCGCGCUGCGCUCCGGCAUCCGGGCGGCUCCGGGCCCGCUGGGCCGCGCGGGGCGCUGAGCUCGGCCCCGGGCGAGAUGGGCACUGCCGUGGGGUGGGAUGGGGGCACGGGGACGGGAUGCGAUGGGGUGGGAUGCCCCGGGGGGACGGGAUGCGGAUAGGGACGGGGCUGUCCUGGAAGGGGGCUGGAGAUGCGAUGGGAUGA